GGAGGUGCUUUGGGAACCUUGGAUUGCAUUGCCGGUCUCUGCUGAUAAUGACCACCUGCAAUUACAGGAAGUUAAAUUUUAUUGUCCUCAAGAGACAUGGGCGUUUAAAAACAUAAACCUGAUGUUUGUGACCAUUUGACCGAGCACCUGCUUCCAGCCACACAGACAAUGGCCCAACAUGCGACUGCCCUGCACCGAUGGAAGCAAUUUAAGACAUGGCUAGCAUAACCAUAACGGACUGGCUCAGGAUGUGGUGGCUUCGGGGAGCAAACGGCUUUCACUUGAGCAUUGUCAAUGUCUCUGCCCAAUGAUGCGCCUGCUGAAUCA
Physcomitrium patens is the source of this 327-nucleotide non-coding RNA. The record is from RefSeq and is a predicted model, not a curated record. Lineage: Eukaryota; Viridiplantae; Streptophyta; Bryopsida; Funariales; Funariaceae.